GAAAUAAUAUGUUUUUAAAAAUGUAAAAAUUGUUUGAAAAAUUUGAGUUGUUACAUGGACCUCAUUAGGUUAUGUACGGGUGGCGAUUGUGGGUUUGGAUCUCAUCAGGUCAUGUGCGGGUGUUGGUUGUGUGUUUGGACCUCAUUAGGUCAUGUACGAGUGUUGGUUGUGAGGUUUAGACCUGAUUAGGUCAUGUAUGGGUGUUGGUUGUGGGUUUGACUUCAUUAGGUCAUGUACGGGUGUUGGUUUUGGGUUUGGACCUCAUCAGGACAUCUUUUGGUGUUGGUUGUGGGUUUGGACCUCAUUAGGUCAUGUAUGGGUGUUGGUAGUGGGUUUGGACCUGAUUAGGUCAUGUAUGGGUGUUGGUUGUGGGUUUGGAUCUCAUUAGGUCAUCUAUAAAUGUUAGUUUGGAGCUCGUUAGGUCAUGUAUGGGUGUUGGUUGUGGGUUUGGACCUUAUUAGGUCAUGUAUGGGUGUUGGUUGUGGGUUUGGAACUCAUUAGGUCAUCUACGAAUGUUAGUUUUGGGUUUGGACCUCAUUAGGUCAUGUAUGGGUGUCGGUUGUGAGGUUUGGACCUCAUUAGGUCAUGUACGGGUAUUGGUUGUGGGUUUGGACCUCAUCAGGUCAUCUAAUGGUGUUGGUUGUGGGUUUGGACCUCAUUAGGUCAUGUAUGGGAGUUGGUUGUGGGUUUGGACCUCAUUAGGUCAUGUACGGGUGUUGGUUGUGGGUUUGGACCUCAUCAGGUCAUCUACUGGUGUUGGUAGCGGUUUUGGACCUCAUUAGGUCAUGUAUGGGUGUUGGUUGUGGGUUUGGACCUCAUUAGGUCAUGUAGGGGUGUUAGUUGAGGGUUUGGACCUCAUUAGGUCAUCUACAGGUGUUGGUUGUGGGUUUGGAUGUCAUCAGGUUAUCUUUUUGUGUUGGUUGUGGGUUUGGACAUCAUCAGUUCAUGUAUGGGUAUUUGUUGUGGGUUUGGACCUCAUUAGGUCAUGUAUGGGUGUUCGUUGUGGGUUUGGACCUGAUUAGGUCAU
This 1027-nucleotide long non-coding RNA is filed under the name Lactuca sativa (garden lettuce). Its description in RNAcentral is "long non-coding RNA (LSAT_LNC010214)". Lineage: Eukaryota; Viridiplantae; Streptophyta; Magnoliopsida; Asterales; Asteraceae. The record is from RNAcentral.